Molecule: ribosomal RNA, 500 nt
Filed under: uncultured bacterium
Lineage: Bacteria
Description: partial 16S ribosomal RNA
Rfam family: Bacterial small subunit ribosomal RNA
Source: RNAcentral
GAUGAACGCUAGCGGCAGGCUUAAUACAUGCAAGUCGUGGGGCAGCAUGAGUAGCAAUACUUGAUGGCGACCGGCAAACGGGUGCGGAACACGUACACAACCUUCCGAUAAGUGGGGAAUAGCCCAGAGAAAUGUGGAUUAAUACCCCGUAACAUAUAGAGUAGGCAUCUUAUUUAUAUUAUAGCUUCGGCGCUUAUUGAUGGGUGUGCGUCUGAUUAGGUAGUUGGCGGGGUAACGGCCCACCAAGCCUACGAUCAGUAGCUGAUGUGAGAGCAUGAUCAGCCACACGGGCACUGAGACACGGGCCCGACUCCUACGGGAGGCAGCAGUAAGGAAUAUUGGACAAUGGGCGAAAGCCUGAUCCAGCCAUGCCGCGUGAAGGAUUAAGGUCCUCUGGAUUGUAAACUUCUUUUAUUUGGGACGAAAAAAGGGAAUUCUUUCCCACUUGACGGUACCAAGUGAAUAAGCACCGGCUAACUCCGUGCCAGCCGCCGCGGUAA